RNAcentral lists this ribosomal RNA (1353 nucleotides) under Microbacterium testaceum. RNAcentral's name for it is "partial 16S ribosomal RNA". It matches the Rfam family "Bacterial small subunit ribosomal RNA", at positions 68 to 1432 of the family's 1533-position model. The record is from RNAcentral. Lineage: Bacteria; Bacillati; Actinomycetota; Actinomycetes; Micrococcales; Microbacteriaceae. RNAcentral also lists the same sequence under 1 other name.
GGUGAAGCCAAGCUUGCUUGGUGGAUCAGUGGCGAACGGGUGAGUAACACGUGAGCAACCUGCCCUGGACUCUGGGAUAAGCGCUGGAAACGGCGUCUAAUACUGGAUAUGAGACGUGAUCGCAUGGUCGUGUUUGGAAAGAUUUUUCGGUCUGGGAUGGGCUCGCGGCCUAUCAGCUUGUUGGUGAGGUAAUGGCUCACCAAGGCGUCGACGGGUAGCCGGCCUGAGAGGGUGACCGGCCACACUGGGACUGAGACACGGCCCAGACUCCUACGGGAGGCAGCAGUGGGGAAUAUUGCACAAUGGGCGGAAGCCUGAUGCAGCAACGCCGCGUGAGGGAUGACGGCCUUCGGGUUGUAAACCUCUUUUAGCAGGGAAGAAGCGAAAGUGACGGUACCUGCAGAAAAAGCGCCGGCUAACUACGUGCCAGCAGCCGCGGUAAUACGUAGGGCGCAAGCGUUAUCCGGAAUUAUUGGGCGUAAAGAGCUCGUAGGCGGUUUGUCGCGUCUGCUGUGAAAUCCCGAGGCUCAACCUCGGGCCUGCAGUGGGUACGGGCAGACUAGAGUGCGGUAGGGGAGAUUGGAAUUCCUGGUGUAGCGGUGGAAUGCGCAGAUAUCAGGAGGAACACCGAUGGCGAAGGCAGAUCUCUGGGCCGUAACUGACGCUGAGGAGCGAAAGGGUGGGGAGCAAACAGGCUUAGAUACCCUGGUAGUCCACCCCGUAAACGUUGGGAACUAGUUGUGGGGACCAUUCCACGGUUUCCGUGACGCAGCUAACGCAUUAAGUUCCCCGCCUGGGGAGUACGGCCGCAAGGCUAAAACUCAAAGGAAUUGACGGGGACCCGCACAAGCGGCGGAGCAUGCGGAUUAAUUCGAUGCAACGCGAAGAACCUUACCAAGGCUUGACAUAUACGAGAACGGGCCAGAAAUGGUCAACUCUUUGGACACUCGUAAACAGGUGGUGCAUGGUUGUCGUCAGCUCGUGUCGUGAGAUGUUGGGUUAAGUCCCGCAACGAGCGCAACCCUCGUUCUAUGUUGCCAGCACGUAAUGGUGGGAACUCAUGGGAUACUGCCGGGGUCAACUCGGAGGAAGGUGGGGAUGACGUCAAAUCAUCAUGCCCCUUAUGUCUUGGGCUUCACGCAUGCUACAAUGGCCGGUACAAAGGGCUGCAAUACCGUAAGGUGGAGCGAAUCCCAAAAAGCCGGUCCCAGUUCGGAUUGAGGUCUGCAACUCGACCUCAUGAAGUCGGAGUCGCUAGUAAUCGCAGAUCAGCAACGCUGCGGUGAAUACGUUCCCGGGUCUUGUACACACCGCCCGUCAAGUCAUGAAAGUCGGUAACACCUGAAGCCGGUG